CCGGUUGAAGCCCCGCCGGGAGGGGAUGGCUCCGCGGCCCAUCAGGUAGACGGCGGGGUGACGGCCCACCGUGCCGACAACGGGUAGCCGGGUUGAGAGACCGACCGGCCAGAUUGGGACUGAGACACGGCCCAGACUCCUACGGGAGGCAGCAGUGGGGAAUCUUGCGCAAUGGGGGGAACCCUGACGCAGCGACGCCGCGUGCGGGACGGAGGCCUUCGGGUCGUAAACCGCUUUCAGCAGGGAAGAGUCAAGACUGUACCUGCAGAAGAAGCCCCGGCUAACUACGUGCCAGCAGCCGCGGUAAUACGUAGGGGGCGAGCGUUAUCCGGAUUCAUUGGGCGUAAAGCGCGCGUAGGCGGCCCGGCAGGCCGGGGGUCGAAGCGGGGGGCUCAACCCCCCGAAGCCCCCGGAACCUCCGCGGCUUGGGUCCGGUAGGGGAGGGUGGAACACCCGGUGUAGCGGUGGAAUGCGCAGAUAUCGGGUGGAACACCGGUGGCGAAGGCGGCCCUCUGGGCCGAGACCGACGCUGAGGCGCGAAAGCUGGGGGAGCGAACAGGAUUAGAUACCCUGGUAGUCCCAGCCGUAA
Molecule: ribosomal RNA, 589 nt
Filed under: uncultured bacterium
Lineage: Bacteria
Description: bacterial SSU rRNA
Rfam family: Bacterial small subunit ribosomal RNA
Source: RNAcentral